RNAcentral lists this ribosomal RNA (426 nucleotides) under uncultured Verrucomicrobiota bacterium. RNAcentral's name for it is "bacterial SSU rRNA". It matches the Rfam family "Bacterial small subunit ribosomal RNA", at positions 353 to 772 of the family's 1533-position model. The record is from RNAcentral. Lineage: Bacteria; Pseudomonadati; Verrucomicrobiota.
AGUCGAGAAUUUUUCACAAUGGGGGAAACCCUGAUGGAGCGACGCCGCGUGGGGGAUGAAUGGCUUCGGCCCGUAAACCCCUGUCAUUUGCGAACAAACCUGGAUGUUUAAGAGAUGUCCGGCUGAUAGUAGCAGAAGAGGAAGGGACGGCUAACUCUGUGCCAGCAGCCGCGGUAAUACAGAGGUCCCAAGCGUUGUUCGGAUUCACUGGGCGUAAAGGGUGCGUAGGCGGUGGGGUAAGUUUGAGGUGAAAUCUCCGGGCUCAACCCGGAAGCUGCCUUGAAUACUAUCCUGCUAGAGGAUCGGAGGGGAGACUGGAAUUCUCGGUGUAGCAGUGAAAUGCGUAGAUAUCGAGAGGAACACCAGUGGCGAAGGCGAGUCUCUGGACGAUACCUGACGCUGAGGCACGAAAGCCAGGGGAGCAAA